UGGAGAUUUGUGAAGGAAUAGGAGG
RNAcentral lists this non-coding RNA (25 nucleotides) under Cricetulus griseus (Chinese hamster). The record is from RNAcentral. Lineage: Eukaryota; Metazoa; Chordata; Mammalia; Rodentia; Cricetidae.